GGAGAAUUAAUCCUGUCUUCACAAUCUAGUGAGGUAGUUAAGUUAGUAUUCACUCAGGAUAGACAAUAGAGUAAACAAUUGUCUUUCACAGUGUAAAAAUGGAGAUUUGAACCCCAGACUUCAAUCCCCAGAAGUCCUUGCUAGCUCCCAGAAUUCUCUCUAAUCUCCCUGAUUGCGAGAUCACAAAUUAUUAUUUAAAGGAGCUCUCUGCCUACUGGGUUCUCUUCCUUCUUCUGCUUCUGGGAAUACACGGCUCUCUACCUAGCAGGCAAGAUAUUGGGAAUAAGGGAAGAUGAAGGGAAUAGCAUUUACUAAAUGCCUGCAAUAUAGGAUGUACCAAACUAAAUGUUUUACAAAUAUUAUCUCAUUGGAUAUUCACAACAACCCUAUGAGGUUAAUUUUGGGAAUACAUGAAAAGACCUAGAAGAAAUUAUGAAGAGUGAAAUAAGCAGAACCAAGAGAGCAUUAUAUAUGUAGCAACAGAAAUUGUUUAAAAAAAUUACUUGUGUAUGACCACCUCCACAGAAAGAACUGAUACAUAUAAAUAAAACACAGUAUGUGUAUCA
RNAcentral lists this long non-coding RNA (566 nucleotides) under Monodelphis domestica (gray short-tailed opossum). RNAcentral describes it as "lncRNA (ENSMODG00000033276.2)". The record is from RNAcentral. Lineage: Eukaryota; Metazoa; Chordata; Mammalia; Didelphimorphia; Didelphidae.